Trachymyrmex cornetzi is the source of this 870-nucleotide long non-coding RNA. RefSeq lists it as uncharacterized. The transcript is spliced from 4 exons. NCBI's taxonomy places the organism in Eukaryota, Metazoa, Arthropoda, Insecta, Hymenoptera, Formicidae. The record is from RefSeq and is a predicted model, not a curated record.
CUUUCUCCUUGAAGAGUUUAAUUGUUUAAUUGGAAAGUAUUUAAGUUCGUCUCUGUUCUGAAUUCAUUGGACGGCUCAAGGGCAAGUUUAUAAACUGGGCUUAUUACAAAUUAUUAUACGAAGAAGAUUCUAAAGACCAAGGAAAAUUUCAUAUUGUUCCCAAACUGACUAUUAAUCAUAUUCAACCAAGUAACACUAUGAAAAUGAGAGUGUCUUUGGCAACUCAGGUUUUUCACCAAUCUCUUACAUGGUUAAACGAGUGGGGAAAAUGAAUUACUUAAUGGAACAAUAACGAGGCAACAAUUUUUAACAGAAAGUACAGCAGAGGGCUUGCGAGUUACAUUGAUGUCUACCAUAUCAUUAAUAACAGAGUUAAUUGAAAAGUUUGGUUUUAAAUAUAUUCUGACAGGAAAAAUUACACAAGAUUGUUUAGAGCAAUUUUUUGGAACUUUACGACAAGCUGGUUGUCAAAAUGAUCAUCCCAUAUUCCCAACAUUAUUACAGUUAUAUUGAUUGCUAUCAAUAUAUAAAAUUGUGAAACCUCCAAAAUUUGACAAUUGUAGUAUUGAUAAUGAAAUUGAUACCACGAGACCGUUUAUUACACAGGAAGAAUUCCAUACAAUUUUUAAUUCCAAAAAUAAAUUUUACAAAAAGGAACAUUUACAUUUGUUAAAAAAUAAAUUGGAUGGACUCAUUGAAACAUCUGAAUGGGAAUGUGAUGAUAUCAUAGAAGAAGAUUAUGAAAUGCCAGCAGUUAUGUAUUGUAUUAUUUAUUAUGUAUCAGGUUUUAUUUUUACAAAGAAAAUGUUAAAACAUAUCAGUUGUGAUACAUGUCGAGCUUCACUUACACAACAUACAAGUUCAAUACCA